GCGGGCGUGGCGGAACUGGUAGACGCGCCAGAUUUAGGUUCUGGUGUCCUUUACGGACAUGGGGGUUCAAGUCCCUCCGCCCGCACCA
This 88-nucleotide transfer RNA is filed under the name Alphaproteobacteria bacterium. Its description in RNAcentral is "tRNA-Leu". It matches the Rfam family "tRNA". From Rfam's summary of the family: Transfer RNA (tRNA) molecules are approximately 80 nucleotides in length. Their secondary structure includes four short double-helical elements and three loops (D, anti-codon, and T loops). The record is from RNAcentral. Lineage: Bacteria; Pseudomonadati; Pseudomonadota; Alphaproteobacteria.